Molecule: ribosomal RNA, 507 nt
Filed under: uncultured bacterium
Lineage: Bacteria
Description: partial 16S ribosomal RNA
Rfam family: Bacterial small subunit ribosomal RNA
Source: RNAcentral
GACGAACGCUGGCGGCGUGCCUAAUACAUGCCAGUCGAACGCAUUUUCUUUCACCGUAGCUUGCUACACCGAAAGAAAAUGAGUGGCGAACGGGUGAGUAACACGUGGGUAACCUGCCCAUCAGCGGGGGAUAACACUUGGAAACAGGUGCUAAUACCGCAUAAUUCCAUUUACUGCAUGGUAGAUGGAUGAAAGGCGCUUUUGCGUCACUGAUGGAUGGACCCGCGGUGCAUUAGCUAGUUGGUGGGGUAACGGCCUACCAAGGCUGCGAUGCAUAGCCGACCUGAGAGGGUGAUCGGCCACACUGGGACUGAGACACGGCCCAGACUCCUACGGGAGGCAGCAGUAGGGAAUCUUCGGCAAUGGACGCAAGUCUGACCGAGCAACGCCGCAUGAGUGAAGAAGGUUUUCGGAUCGUAAAACUCUGUUGUUAGAAAAGAACAAGGAUGAGAGUGGAAAGUUCAUCCCUUGACGGUAUCUAACCAGAAAGCCACGGCUAACUACGUG